AAUAAAUGAAUUUAUUCAAGUAAUUGUUUGAAUUAACUAUAGAUAUUAUUAAAUUGAUUAAAUGAUCCAUUUGAAAUCCAUUUAUAAAUAAAAAAAGUAGAAAUUAAAAAUCAUGUUGAUCAAUUUGCCUUGAUAAAUGAUCAUUAGAAUUAAAUGCGAUUUUGUACCACAUUUAAUGAAUACUCUAUAAUUAAAAAAGAAGGCAAUAAAUGAAUUUAUUCAAGUAUUUUUUUGAAUUGACUAUAGAUAUUCUUAAAUUAAUUAAAUAAUCAAUUUGAAAUGCAUUUAUGAAUAUAAAGAGUAGAAAUAAAAAAUCA
RNAcentral lists this long non-coding RNA (317 nucleotides) under Zostera marina. Its description in RNAcentral is "long non-coding RNA (ZMAR_LNC000770)". The record is from RNAcentral. Lineage: Eukaryota; Viridiplantae; Streptophyta; Magnoliopsida; Alismatales; Zosteraceae.